This is a small nuclear RNA of Zalophus californianus (California sea lion), 107 nucleotides long. NCBI's taxonomy places the organism in Eukaryota, Metazoa, Chordata, Mammalia, Carnivora, Otariidae. The record is from Ensembl.
GUGCUCGCCUCAGCAACACAUAUACUGAAACUGGAACGAUACAGAGGAGAUUAGCAUGGCCUCCGCACAAGGAUGACAUGCAAAUUCGUGGAGCGUUCCAUAUUAAA